UGUUCCCCCGCCGGGGUCUCGCUCUCUGCGCUGCCCGGCAGCUGCGACGGUGUCUCUUCAGCCCUGGAGUCCUGGACCGCACUCUUUCUCCUGCGUGCGUGUUAGCAGACAGUUAAUCUUCGUUUUGAAACCACACAGCUCAGACGGAACUUGAACCACAAUCUUCCAACUGAGACUGCACAGGACUUAAUGAAGCUCAGGUUCUUUAUGUCUCGCCACAGAAGUUCAGCAAGAGGCAAAGUAAUAGGUACACUGAUUUAACCCAGCUGAAGACUUGAGGGGAUCUUCUGGAGAUUUCAGGAGAUUUCUCUGUGAAUUUCUCUCUGCCCAGGAAUUGUGCCCUGCAGCUUCUAGGUGCCCUGACUCCCCAGAUAGUCAGAUCCAUUUCUUUAACUCUAGGUGAUGACCAGGUUUAGCAUGAGUUCCCCUGCCCUGCACUAGCACCUGGAAACUCUCUUUUAGACACUGAGCUGAGGCAGUCACAGUGUUUACCUUCUGGGUUUUGUCUUUCUCAGAGAUCACCAUCCUGUGGUGCCUGACUUCAAUGUCUGAAAAACCUUGUCCCAUGUAUUUGGCCUGCUUUAUAGUUGUUUCAGGAAGGAGGGUACAUCUGGUUCCUAUUACUCCAUCUUGACCUGAAGCAGAAGUCCAUUUAGUAAUUUGUUUUAGCUUUUCAGUUUUUGUUUUUAUUUUGUUUUUCGUGUAAGUCCUUUUCCACAAAAUCAUUAGUAAUAGUUCACGACACACAGUGCACUUUCUAUAAAUGUUUUGGAUUGAAUGAAAUAAAUCUUUAAUAAAGGGGGUAAAUUCUGUUUACCUACAUUUUGCUCCGAGGAAAACUUACCUGGAGAAUUUAGUGAAGGACACAGUUCUAGUCUCAGCUCUGUCCCUGACAACUUUUCAUGUAAAACGGUAACAGAUGUAGGCAUUCCUCUCUAAAAUUAAGAAUGGUUUUUAAUGUUGGAUUCAAACAAGAACAGUCUUAACUAGGAUUAUAUUGAAAUUCUAUCUAUAUUCCUUUGGAGUACCUUAACGAUUGUGUUUUCUGUAAAUUAUUCAUUAUCAAUAAAGGAGCCAAUUCCAAGUC
Sus scrofa (pig) is the source of this 1087-nucleotide long non-coding RNA. RefSeq lists it as uncharacterized. The record is from RefSeq and is a predicted model, not a curated record. NCBI's taxonomy places the organism in Eukaryota, Metazoa, Chordata, Mammalia, Artiodactyla, Suidae.